Molecule: ribosomal RNA, 478 nt
Filed under: uncultured bacterium
Lineage: Bacteria
Description: partial 16S ribosomal RNA
Rfam family: Bacterial small subunit ribosomal RNA
Source: RNAcentral
GACGAACGCUGGCGGCGUGCUUAACACAUGCAAGUCGAACGGUAAGGCCCUUCGGGGUACACGAGUGGCGAACGGGUGAGUAACACGUGGGUGAUCUGCCCUGCACUUCGGGAUAAGCCUGGGAAACUGGGUCUAAUACCGGAUAGGACUCCUGGCUUCAUGGUUGGGGGUGGAAAGCCUUUGCGGUGUGGGAUGGGCCCGCGGCCUAUCAGCUUGUUGGUGGGGUGAUGGCCUACCAAGGCGACGACGGGUAGCCGGCCUGAGAGGGUGACCGGCCACACUGGGACUGAGAUACGGGCCAGACUCCUACGGGAGGCUGCAGUGGGGAAUAUUGCACAAUGGGCGAAAGCCUGAUGCAGCGACGCGGCGUGAGGGAUGACGGCCUUCGGGUUGUAAACCUCUUUCAGCACCGACGAAGCGCAAGUGACGGUAGGUGCAGAAGAAGGACCGGCCAACUACGUGCCAGCCGCCGCCGUAA